Molecule: long non-coding RNA, 410 nt
Filed under: Dasypus novemcinctus (nine-banded armadillo)
Lineage: Eukaryota; Metazoa; Chordata; Mammalia; Cingulata; Dasypodidae
Description: lncRNA (ENSDNOG00000050524.1)
Source: RNAcentral
CAGGAAAAAACCUUAAAAUAAAAGACGAUUUGCUUCAAGUCCAGAAAGAAGCAUUUGCUCUGGAACUUGAGAACAAAUUACUUCAAGAACAACUGAAACAGGCUUUACAGAAAGCUGAAAGAGCUAAUCAUCAACUUGAAUAUUUCCUAAAAACUGAGAAGGCCAAGACAACCAUGGAAAUGGAUAUUAGUAAAAUAAAAGUUAAAGGUGAGGAUUCAGAAAAUAUACCACUGGAAAAAGAAAGGAGAAAAGCGUCAGUUUCACAUUCAGCUGGACAAAAGAGAGAUGAAAUUCAAGAACAAUCAAAGAUUUCAUUCAUCCACCAUGGAAGUCCAAUUGAAGAAAGGUAAAUUAAAAAAAUUUUUUUUUCUAUCUUCUUCUAAUCUUUUAUCAGUUCAUAUAUCUAACUG